This 495-nucleotide ribosomal RNA is filed under the name uncultured bacterium. Its description in RNAcentral is "partial 16S ribosomal RNA". It matches the Rfam family "Bacterial small subunit ribosomal RNA", at positions 28 to 523 of the family's 1533-position model. The record is from RNAcentral.
GAUGAACGCUAGCGGCAGGCCUAAUACAUGCAAGUCGAGGGGUAGAAGAGGCUUGCUUCUUUGAGACCGGCGCACGGGUGCGUAACGCGUAUGCAACCUACCUUCAUCUGGGGGAUAGCCCGGGGAAAUCCGGAUUAAUACCGCAUAAAAUCACAGGAUGGCAUUAUCCAAUGAUCAAACAUUUAUGGGAUGGAGAUGGGCAUGCGUGUCAUUAGCUAGUUGGCGGGGUAACGGCCACCAAGGCGACGAUGACUAGGGGAUCUGAGAGGAUGGCCCCCCACACUGGUACUGAGACACGGACCAGACUCCUACGGGAGGCAGCAGUAAGGAAUAUUGGUCAAUGGAGGCAACUCUGAACCAGCCAUGCCGCGUGCAGGAAGACUGCCCUAUGGGUUGUAAACUGCUUUUAUUCGGGAAUAAACCUUAUUACGUGUAAUAAGCUGAAUGUACCGAAGGAAUAAGGAUCGGCUAACUCCGUGCCAGCAGCCGCAGUAA